Molecule: ribosomal RNA, 858 nt
Filed under: Triticum aestivum (bread wheat)
Lineage: Eukaryota; Viridiplantae; Streptophyta; Magnoliopsida; Poales; Poaceae
Description: partial small subunit ribosomal RNA
Source: RNAcentral
AUGACAAGGAGACAGGCAGUCGAGGCCCUUGAUAAUAGCAUGAGGGACAUCAUGGCUCAACCUGACCUGCCAUUUGGUGGAAAGACUGUCGUGUUUGGGGGACAUUUCAGACAAGUGCUUCCUCUUGUUCGCAAGGGAACAAGGUCACAAAUAAUUGACGCGACGCUACGCAAGUCUUACCUUUGGGAGAGUAUGAGACAUAUAAGACUUGUCCGUAAUAUGAGGGCUCAAAGUGAUCCAUGGUUUGCUGAUUAUCUUCUGCCUGUCGGGAAUGGCACCAAAGAUACUAUGGAUGAUGGUUACAUACGACUCCCAGAUGAGAUUUGUGUACCAUAUACCGGCGUUGCCUCUGAUAUUGACAAGCUUAUUGAAAGUGUUUUCCCGAUGCCGCUAGAUGAAAACCUCUUGGAUCCAAACUACAUAGCGUCCCGAGCAAUUCUAUCAACUCGGAAUGAGUACAUUGACAAAAUCAAUAUGAGGAUGAUUGAGAGAUUUCCUGGGGAGGAGAUGAUAUACUACAGUUUUGAUCGCGCGGAGGAUGAUCCACACAACUACUACCUUGCAGAAUUCUUGAAUUCAUUGACACCUAAUGGUCUACCUCCCCAUAUCCUCAAGUUGAAGAUUAAUUUUCCUAUUAUAUUGUUACGGAACAUUGACCCAGCGAGUGGGUUGUGCAACGGGACGAGGCUGAUUGUCCGAGGGUUCAUGAGGAAUGGAAUUGAUGCUGAGAUUGUGCUGGGCCAGCAUGCUGGUAAGAGGGUGUUCCUUCCUCGAAUUCCUCUUUGCCCAUCAGAUGAUGAGAUUUUCCAUUUAGGUUCAAGAGGAAGCAGUUUCCAGUCAGGCUUAGCUUUGCUAUGA